GCUACUGUGGUGGAAUUGGCAGACACAGAGGACUUAAAAUCCUCAGUCAGAAUAAGACGUAUGGGUUCAAGUCCCGUUGGUAGCA
RNAcentral lists this transfer RNA (85 nucleotides) under Caudoviricetes sp. RNAcentral's name for it is "tRNA-Leu". It matches the Rfam family "tRNA". Rfam says of the family: Transfer RNA (tRNA) molecules are approximately 80 nucleotides in length. Their secondary structure includes four short double-helical elements and three loops (D, anti-codon, and T loops). Further hydrogen bonds mediate the characteristic L-shaped molecular structure. tRNAs have two regions of fundamental functional importance: the anti-codon, which is responsible for specific mRNA codon recognition, and the 3' end, to which the tRNAs corresponding amino acid is attached (by aminoacyl-tRNA synthetases). tRNAs cope with the degeneracy of the genetic code in two manners: having more than one tRNA (with a specific anti-codon) for a particular amino acid; and 'wobble' base-pairing, i.e. permitting non-standard base-pairing at the 3rd anti-codon position. Lineage: Duplodnaviria; Heunggongvirae; Uroviricota; Caudoviricetes. The record is from RNAcentral.